GUGAGGAAUAUUGCGCAAUGGAGGCAACUCUGACGCAGCCAUGCCGCGUGCAGGAAGAAGGCGCUACGCGUUGUAAACUGCUUUUAACCGGGAAGAAACACCAGGACGUGUCCUGGGUUGACGGUACCGGAGGAAUAAGCACCGGCUAACUUCGUGCCAGCAGCCGCGGUAAUACGAAGGGUGCAAGCGUUAUCCGGAUUCAUUGGGUUUAAAGGGUGCGUAGGCGGAGCGUUAAGUCAGUGGUGAAUACCUGCAGCUUAACUGUAGACUUGCCAUUGAUACUGGCGCUCUUGAAUGCGCUUGAAGUGGGCGGAAUGUGCCGUGUAGCGGUGAAAUGCUUAGAUAUGGCACAGAACACCAAGUGCGAAGGCAGCUCACUAAGGCGAUACUGACGCUGAGGCACGAAAGCGUGGGGAUCGAACAGGAUUAGAUACCCGUGUAGUCC
Molecule: ribosomal RNA, 445 nt
Filed under: uncultured bacterium
Lineage: Bacteria
Description: partial 16S ribosomal RNA
Rfam family: Bacterial small subunit ribosomal RNA
Source: RNAcentral